CCCAGACUCCUACGGGAGGCAGCAGUGGGGAAUAUUGCACAAUGGGGGGAACCCUGAUGCAGCAACGCCGCGUGGGUGAAGAAGUACUUCGGUAUGUAAAGCCCUGUCAGCAGGGAAGAAAAUGACGGUACCUGACCAAGAAGCCCCGGCUAACUACGUGCCAGCAGCCGCGGUAAUACGUAGGGGGCAAGCGUUAUCCGGAUUUACUGGGUGUAAAGGGAGCGUAGACGGCAAGGCAAGUCUGGAGUGAAAGCCCGGGGCUCAACCACGGGACUGCUUUGGAAACUGUGUUGCUGGAGUGCAGGAGGGGUAAGCGGAAUUCCUAGUGUAGCGGUGAAAUGCGUAGAUAUUAGGAGGAACACCGGUGGCGAAGGCGGCUUACUGGACUGUAACUGACGUUGAGGCUCGAAGGCGUGGGGAGCAAACAGGAUUAGAUACCCCCGUAC
RNAcentral lists this ribosomal RNA (446 nucleotides) under uncultured bacterium. RNAcentral describes it as "bacterial SSU rRNA". It matches the Rfam family "Bacterial small subunit ribosomal RNA", at positions 330 to 793 of the family's 1533-position model. The record is from RNAcentral.